This 495-nucleotide ribosomal RNA is filed under the name uncultured bacterium. Its description in RNAcentral is "bacterial SSU rRNA". It matches the Rfam family "Bacterial small subunit ribosomal RNA", at positions 28 to 515 of the family's 1533-position model. The record is from RNAcentral.
GACGAACGCUGGCGGCGUGCCUAACACAUGCAAGUCGAACGGAGAUACAUUGUAGCAAUACGAUGUAUCUUAGUGGCGGACGGGUGAGUAACGCGUGAGCAACCUACCUUACAGAGGGGGAUAACACGCCGAAAGGUGUGCUAAUACCGCAUGACAUGUGGGGAUGGCAUCAUCCUUACAUCAAAGAUUUUAUCGCUGUAAGAUGGGCUCGCGUCCGAUUAGAUAGUUGGCGGGGUAAUGGCCCACCAAGUCGACGAUCGGUAGCCGGACUGAGAGGUUGAACGGCCACAUUGGGACUGAGACACGGCCCAGACUCCUACGGGAGGCAGCAGUGAGGAAUAUUGGUCAAUGGGCGGAAGCCUGAACCAGCCAUCCCGCGUGCAGGAAGAAGGCGCUAAGCGUUGUAAACUGCUUUUGCAGGGGAAGAAACUUCCGGUUGCGACCGGGACUGACGGUACCCUGUGAAUAAGCAUCGGCUAACUCCGUGCCAGCACG